Long non-coding RNA from Cyprinus carpio carpio, 1050 nucleotides. Lineage: Eukaryota; Metazoa; Chordata; Actinopteri; Cypriniformes; Cyprinidae. The record is from Ensembl.
AUGAUUUGUAAUUGUUGCGCAAAGGACACAAGAAUGCUGCUGCUCAUAAAGUGGGUUGGAGAGGUGAGCUGUCAGAGAUUUCAAGCACAAGCUCCAAGUCUUCAUGCUGCGUCUGAGUCUCUAGGCAGUCAUGCAUUGGAGCAUUUAAGGCAGGAGUCAGACCUUGGAGCCACAGAGGCAUGCACAGUGCAUAAUCUCAGCCUUAAAGGAGCCAGUGUCAACUCAACGAAAUCCUCAAGGCAUUUACCAUUAAAAACAAGAACUCGGCGUUGUGUAAUUGUGUGUGCUGUGACACACUCAUUUCCUUAAUCACUUAGACAUACAUUAAUAAGCUUCAGUGAGUAUACCACAUUCAGUUCCAAGCCUGUGAGUCAGUUGUGUACAGAGCAGUGAAACUUCCUUUUUAAAUGAGGAUGUGAUGUGAUUGUGUUUGGCAAGUGAGUGAGAGAGUUAUUUACCACUUUACAUGGCUAAAGGAUUUGUAAACAUCAUAACUUAAAUAGGCUGUGGGUUUAGUCCUGUGUAUCAAAGGAUAUGUUGAAGGAUAAGAUUAAGUAACAAGUGACUCUGCAGUAAAGCGACUUUACCACAAUUAAUGGGCGUUGUUUGCCAUACAGAUGCAAGUGGAGUUGUAACUUGGCUUAUUAAUAUACAGUUAAACUGAUGUGUGGUUAAUAUAUUGGUUAGAUUACAGUAACUUCAGUGUGGCUCAUCCAAUCAAAUUUUAGGGCCAGAACUAUACUUUUGUAAGCUGUAUCUUAGUCAACUUUCCCCAUGUAAAUUUAGAGCAGGUCUGUUCAGUCGCCGUCCCUAUAUUUGUAACUCUUCUAGGCAACUGUUUCCAGACAUGCUAGUACAGCUCAUACUUGUGUGAUACCUGUUUCUACUUGAAUUGGAAAUAACCAAAAUAUCAAAAACUGCUGGUUACUGCAAGAUUACUUUAAAUCAACAUUUCAAAUCAGGACUGUCUGACAACAACUGCAUCAUUGUAGCUACUUGAUUCGUGAUGACCGCAAAGCCUUUUUCAAAAACGCUUUAUUUAGUUUUCUC